This is an RNA transcript of Hypanus sabinus (Atlantic stingray), 2771 nucleotides long. It is a transcript of the gene named nemo-like kinase, type 2, with no coding region annotated. Lineage: Eukaryota; Metazoa; Chordata; Chondrichthyes; Myliobatiformes; Dasyatidae. The record is from RefSeq and is a predicted model, not a curated record. The transcript has 13 exons.
GGGUUUAAAGGGGGGAAAAGAAUCCGCUUCCUUUAUGGAUGUUGGAUUUAAAAACUUUCCUACGUCCACCUCAUGUAUGAGGUGAAAGUGCUCCGUAAUUUUAUCCUUUGAGAGGAGUCGGAUUAAAGGGGUUUCCCGAGGAAGAGCCGCGAGGAGAGGAGGAGGGGAGGUGGAAUUUGCUGGAAAAUGGUCUAGAGGAGGAAGCGGCGGGUCGGCACGGAGCGAGGGCAGUGCGGCCGAGGCGGGGCCGGGGCCGGGGAGGGCGCGAGCCGGGCGCGCGCCGCGUCCGUUGGUCAUGGCGCUGUGCGGCACCAGCACGGCGGUGGCGGCGGCGGCGGGCCAGCAGCGCCAGAGCGUCGCCAAGCUGAUGGCUUAUAACGGCGCCGGGGCCGCCCACCACCAUCAUCACCACCAUCACCACCACCAUCACAACAACCACCACCACCAUCACCACAACAACCAGCAGCAGCAGCCGCCGCCGCCUCCUCAGUCGCAUUCCCACCACCAUCUACAUCCCGGAGCCGCCGGUGGUGUUGCCGGCGGCGCCGGUGGAGGAGGAGGCGGCAUCGGUACAGCGGUACACCCGGUCCAGCAUCAUCACCACCCGGCCUCCGGCGCCGCCGCCGCCUCGUCGUCGUCGUCCUCUUCUUCCUCGUCGGCUGCCGCCGCCGCUGCUGCUGCUGCCGCGGCGGCGGCGGCGGCAGCCGCGAUGCUGAACCCGGCUCAAGCGCCGUAUUUCCCGUCCCCGGCGCCCGCCGCCGCCGCCGCCACGGUGCAAAUUCACGCCGCCGCCGCCGCCGCCAAGGCACAUCAGCUGGACAUCGAGCCCGACAGACCCAUCGGAUAUGGAGCCUUCGGAGUAGUCUGGUCAGUGACGGAUCCUAGAGAUGGAAAAAGAGUCGCACUCAAAAAGAUGCCCAACGUCUUCCAGAAUCUAGUUUCCUGCAAGAGGGUCUUCCGUGAGUUGAAGAUGCUCUGCUUCUUCAAGCAUGAUAAUGUGCUCUCUGCACUUGAUAUACUCCAACCUCCACACAUUGACUACUUUGAAGAAAUCUAUGUUGUCACAGAGCUAAUGCAAAGCGACCUACACAAGAUCAUUGUGUCUCCACAACCAUUGAGUUCUGAUCAUGUCAAAGUUUUUCUCUACCAGAUUUUGAGAGGUCUGAAGUAUCUGCAUUCAGCUGGUAUAUUACACCGGGACAUUAAACCAGGAAAUCUUCUUGUGAACAGCAACUGUGUCCUCAAGAUCUGUGACUUUGGCCUUGCCAGAGUAGAAGAACUUGAUGAGUCUCGUCAUAUGACCCAGGAAGUUGUCACUCAGUAUUACCGAGCGCCAGAGAUCCUGAUGGGCAGUCGCCAUUACACUAAUGCCAUUGAUAUCUGGUCUGUAGGAUGCAUCUUUGCAGAACUCUUAGGUCGUAGAAUCUUAUUUCAGGCUCAAAGUCCCAUUCAACAGCUGAAAAUAAAUCACGCUCCUUGGUUCAUCUUCUGGAUUUUGUACCAUGGAUCAAAAUACAAUUCAGUCCUUUUUCCAAAAGCUCUCCAUUCUUUGGACUUAAUCACAGAUCUGUUGGGAACUCCAUCAUUAGAAGCCAUGCGAACAGCUUGUGAGGGUGCCAAGGCUCACAUACUCAGGGGUCCUCAUAAACAGCCAUCACUUCCUGUCCUUUAUACGCUAUCCAGCCAGGCUACCCAUGAAGCUGUCCACCUCCUCUGCAGGAUGUUAGUCUUUGAUCCUUCAAAAAGAAUCUCUGCAAAGGAUGCCCUGGCACAUCCAUAUUUGGAUGAAGGACGGCUUAGAUACCACACUUGUAUGUGCAAGUGCUGUUAUACCACCUCUACGGGGCGUGUUUACACCAAUGAUUUUGAGCCCAUCACCAAUCCCAAAUUUGAUGACAGCUUCGAAAAAAAUUUGACAUCUGUUCGGCAGGUUAAAGAGCUCAUUCAUCAAUUCAUUUUGGAACAGCAGAAAGGAAAUCGGGUUCCAUUAUGUAUCAAUCCACAGUCUGCUGCAUUUAAAAGCUUUAUCAGCUCCACAGUAGCUCAGCCCUCUGAGAUGCCCCCAUCUCCACUGGUAUGGGAGUAAGUGGAAGAAACUACUGAUGACAAAUAUUUUAGGUUCUCACUGGAGUCUAAAACUUGCAGUACCAUUUAUGUCGGGACAAUAAACAGGGGCAAAAAAAAAUACUGAGAGCCUGCUGAGAAACCGGUUUCAAGACUUCUCCUGAAGUUCAUCAUCCUAUGUGACACACUUGCCGGUCACUUUGUACAAUGUAGAUUUGAAGUACAGUGGUGGAAAUUCAUUAAAUGUGAUAUUGAAAACAAAAAUCUGUGGUAUUAGUCAGUUUGUGCUACUGUAUAUUUAAACACAAGUCCUCAGUUAUAAUAUCCCUUUAUGAUUGUAAUAUGCCAUUAAUUCUCACACAUGCAUCUUUGAGUAAAAAUUUCCCUUCAGUUUGGUUGCUUUUUGUAUUGAAGUGCUUAAACUUUUUUUUGUAGUUUUAUUCAAAUACACAGGUCUUUAAUGUGUCCUUUCUGUAAACAUAUUUUAAAACCACUUCUGCACCUUUAGAGGGGAAAACGCUAACAAACAAAGAUGCUGAAUUUUCUUCCUCAAAUUGAGGAGGAUUUUGUUUUGGAUUACAACCAUUUAAUCAUAAAAAUCAACAUAUGGAUAACUCCAUAACAGACACAAGCUACCUAUUCACUGACUAAAAUGUUUUCAUUAUGUUUGUUUUUGUAUAGAAUACUGUAUUUAGGAUUGAUCCAUU